AGAGUUUGAUCAUGGCUCAGGAUGAACGCUAGCGGCAGGCUUAAUACAUGCAAGUCGUGGGGCAGCAGGGGUAGCAAUACUCGCUGGCGACCGGCAAACGGGUGCGGAACACGUACACAACCUUCCUUAAAGUGGGGAAUAGCCCAGGGAAACUUGGAUUAAUACCCCGUAAUAUUAUUAGAUGGCAUCAUUUGAUAAUUAUAGCUCCGGCGCUUAAAGAUGGGUGUGCGGCUGAUUAGGUAGUUGGCGGGGUAACGGCCCACCAAGCCUACGAUCAGUAACUGGUGUGAGAGCACGACCAGUCACACGGGCACUGAGACACGGGCCCGACUCCUACGGGAGGCAGCAGUAAGGAAUAUUGGUCAAUGGACGCAAGUCUGAACCAGCCAUGCCGCGUGGAGGAUGAAGGUCCUCUGGAUUGUAAACUUCUUUUAUCUGGGAAGAAACCCAAGGUUUCUACUUUGGUUGACGGUACCAGAUGAAUAAGCACCGGCUAACUCCGUGCCAGCAGCCGCGGUAAUACGGAGGGUGCAAGCGUUAUCCGGAUUCACUGGGUUUAAAGGGUGCGUAGGCGGGUUGGUAAGUCCGUGGUGAAAUCUCCAAGCUUAACUUGGAAACUGCCGUGGAUACUCUCAAUCUUGAAUAUAGUGGAGGUGAGCGGAAUAUGUCAUGUAGCGGUGAAAUGCUUAGAUAUGACAUAGAACACCCAUUGCGAAGGCAGCUCGCUACACUAUUAUUGACGCUGAGGCACGAAAGCGUGGGGAUCAAACAGGAUUAGAUACCCUAGUAGUCC
Molecule: ribosomal RNA, 793 nt
Filed under: uncultured bacterium
Lineage: Bacteria
Description: bacterial SSU rRNA
Rfam family: Bacterial small subunit ribosomal RNA
Source: RNAcentral